Molecule: ribosomal RNA, 379 nt
Filed under: uncultured eukaryote
Lineage: Eukaryota
Description: partial 18S ribosomal RNA
Rfam family: Eukaryotic small subunit ribosomal RNA
Source: RNAcentral
CAAUAGCGUAUAUUUAAGUUGUUGCAGUUAAAAAGCUCGUAGUUGGAUUUCGGAUGGGAUUUGCCGGUCCGUCGUUACGAUGUGCACUGGCCAGUCCUAUCUUGUUGUCGGGGACUAGCUCCUUGGAUUCACUUCCUGGGACUAGGAGCUGACGAGGUUACUUUGAGUAAAUUAGAGUGUUCAAAGCAAGCCUACGCUCUGAAUACAUUAGCAUGGAAUAACACGAUAGGACUCUGGCUUAUCUUGUUGGUCUGUGAGACCAGAGUAAUGAUUAAGAGGGACAGUCGGGGACAUUCGUAUUUCAUUGUCAGAGGUGAAAUUCUUGGAUUUAUGAAAGACGAACUUCAGCGAAAGCGUCUGCCAAGGAUGUUUUCAUUGA